This 72-nucleotide transfer RNA is filed under the name Pseudomonadota bacterium. RNAcentral describes it as "tRNA-Pro". It matches the Rfam family "tRNA". From Rfam's summary of the family: Transfer RNA (tRNA) molecules are approximately 80 nucleotides in length. Their secondary structure includes four short double-helical elements and three loops (D, anti-codon, and T loops). Further hydrogen bonds mediate the characteristic L-shaped molecular structure. tRNAs have two regions of fundamental functional importance: the anti-codon, which is responsible for specific mRNA codon recognition, and the 3' end, to which the tRNAs corresponding amino acid is attached (by aminoacyl-tRNA synthetases). tRNAs cope with the degeneracy of the genetic code in two manners: having more than one tRNA (with a specific anti-codon) for a particular amino acid; and 'wobble' base-pairing, i.e. permitting non-standard base-pairing at the 3rd anti-codon position. RNAcentral also lists the same sequence under 3 other names. Lineage: Bacteria; Pseudomonadati; Pseudomonadota. The record is from RNAcentral.
CGGGCUGUAGUGUAACGGCUAGCACGAGUCCUUUGGGAGGAUUUAGUCCGGGUUCGAAUCCCGGCAGCCCGA